RNAcentral lists this ribosomal RNA (424 nucleotides) under uncultured bacterium. Its description in RNAcentral is "partial 16S ribosomal RNA". It matches the Rfam family "Bacterial small subunit ribosomal RNA", at positions 355 to 772 of the family's 1533-position model. The record is from RNAcentral.
UGGGGAAUUUUGGACAAUGGGCGAAAGCCUGAUCCAGCAAUGCCGCGUGUGUGAAGAAGGCCUUCGGGUUGUAAAGCACUUUUGUCCGGAAAGAAAUCCUUGGCUCUAAUACAGUCGGGGGAUGACGGUACCGGAAGAAUAAGCACCGGCUAACUACGUGCCAGCAGCCGCGGUAAUACGUAGGGUGCAAGCGUUAAUCGGAAUUACUGGGCGUAAAGCGUGCGCAGGCGGUUUGCUAAGACCGAUGUGAAAUCCCCGGGCUCAACCUGGGAACUGCAUUGGUGACUGGCAGGCUAGAGUAUGGCAGAGGGGGGUAGAAUUCCACGUGUAGCAGUGAAAUGCGUAGAGAUGUGGAGGAAUACCGAUGGCGAAGGCAGCCCCUGGGCCAAUACUGACGCUCAUGCACGAAAGCGUGGGGAGCAAA